Molecule: ribosomal RNA, 305 nt
Filed under: uncultured bacterium
Lineage: Bacteria
Description: bacterial SSU rRNA
Rfam family: Bacterial small subunit ribosomal RNA
Source: RNAcentral
CUUGCCUACGGGGCGCAGCAGUGGGGAAUAUUGCACAAUGGGGGAAACCCUGAUGCAGCGACGCCGCGUGAGUGAAGAAGUAUUUCGGUAUGUAAAGCUCUAUCAGCAGGGAAGAAAUACUGACCUUACGGUCAGCAGACGGUACCUGACUAAGAAGCCCCGGCUAACUACGUGCCAGCAGCCGCGGUAAUACGUAGGGGGCAAGCGUUAUCCGGAUUUACUGGGUGUAAAGGGAGCGUAGACGGCAUAGCAAGUCUGAAGUGAAAGCCCGUGGCUCAACCGCGGAACUGCUUUGGAAACUGUUA